Molecule: ribosomal RNA, 376 nt
Filed under: uncultured bacterium
Lineage: Bacteria
Description: partial 16S ribosomal RNA
Rfam family: Bacterial small subunit ribosomal RNA
Source: RNAcentral
CCUACGGGAGGCUGCAGUGGGGGAUAUUGCACAAUGGGGGGAACCCUGAUGCAGCGACGCCGCGUGGGUGAAGGAGUGCUUCGGCAUGUAAAGCCCUAUCGUCAGGGAAGAAGCAUGACGGUACCUGACUAAGAAACCCUGGCUAACUACUUUCCAUCAGCCCCGGUAAUACGUGGGGGGCCAGCGUUAUCCGGAUUCACUGGGUGUAACGGGGGCGUAGACUGCCAUGCAAGCAAGGGGGGAAAGCCCCGGGGCCAACCCCAGGAUUGCCCUUGGUACUGUCCGGCUAGAGUGCGGGAGGGGUAGGCGGAAUUCCUGGUGUAGCGGUGAAAUGCGUAGAUAUCAGGAAGAACACCGACGGCGAAGGCAGCCUACU